AUCCCCAUGACUUUCGUAACUUAGUGCCUAGUGUACAUAAAUAUUAGAAAAAUUACAGUUUCACCUUCUCAACUUUCGACAAUUCCCAUAUGCACCCCCUCAUCUUUAAAAAUUUCAAAGAGGCCUUUCAAAAUUUCAAAGUAUUCCAAAGUGGUCUUUGCCGUUCAUCUCCAUUAAUAAUAGAGUGGUGGCAUGUAACUAUCAUAUAAAUAACA
This 215-nucleotide long non-coding RNA is filed under the name Phoenix dactylifera (date palm). RNAcentral describes it as "long non-coding RNA (PDAC_LNC006137)". The record is from RNAcentral. Lineage: Eukaryota; Viridiplantae; Streptophyta; Magnoliopsida; Arecales; Arecaceae.